RNAcentral lists this non-coding RNA (45 nucleotides) under unclassified sequences. RNAcentral's name for it is "SAM-SAH-Weickhmann-2018 RNA". It matches the Rfam family "SAM/SAH riboswitch aptamer". The record is from RNAcentral.
CUGUCACAACGGCUUCCUGACGUGGCAGUGAAUCUUACCGGAGCA